Molecule: long non-coding RNA, 630 nt
Organism: Poecilia latipinna (sailfin molly)
Lineage: Eukaryota; Metazoa; Chordata; Actinopteri; Cyprinodontiformes; Poeciliidae
Exons: 2
Source: RefSeq, a predicted model, not a curated record
AUAUAUAUAUAUAUAUAUUAUUAGGAGUUUGACUGAGUUAAGGCAAUGAGACUAUCAAACAUGUUGAGCACUUUAAACCUCCAAGAAUCUAAAAUGUAUUCAAGCAAAGUUUUAAUCACUCUUUCCUGGAGUGGAAAAACUAAAAGGCACAACUUUUAUUUAACAAUGAAACGUAUUUUAUGUCUUUAAAAAAUGCUUUUUUCUCCAAGAAUGCAUACACUUUACUCUUUGCACUAUUAAUAAAAACUAAAAACAACCGUAAUUGACUUAUCAUUAAAAAUUGAAGCCUUAAAAGUAAAUAUGAGUUUUAUUGCAGUGAUUCGGUUCAAGGUGUCGCAGAACCUUUGAAGUCUCAAACAUGUGUUUGUUCCACAUUGGUCAGAUACCAACUUUUCUUUGUUGCCGUGUGGACAAACCUGUAGAUCCUGCUCGUCAUGUUCUUACAUUACUCCAGAUAACUUGUUCAGAUGGAGGGCCAGGUUUUCAGUUUCUUUUUUUGUAUGAGUAAAAAGUAAAUUUAUUUAUUAUUCAGUUAUAAAUUUUUAAGCAUCAUAGAACAGUACUUUAAGACCAGAUUUAGGGAACAUAAUAUGUGUUUGAAAAUUGAACAUUUCCAAACACAUUUUGUUU